RNAcentral lists this ribosomal RNA (464 nucleotides) under uncultured Klebsiella sp. Its description in RNAcentral is "bacterial SSU rRNA". It matches the Rfam family "Bacterial small subunit ribosomal RNA", at positions 338 to 795 of the family's 1533-position model. Lineage: Bacteria; Pseudomonadati; Pseudomonadota; Gammaproteobacteria; Enterobacterales; Enterobacteriaceae. The record is from RNAcentral.
CCUACGGCGGCUGCAGUGGGGAAUAUUGCACAAUGGGCGCAAGCCUGAUGCAGCCAUGCCGCGUGUGUGAAGAAGGCCUUCGGGUUGUAAAGCACUUUCAGCGGGGAGGAAGGCGUUAAGGUUAAUAACCUUGUCGAUUGACGUUACCCGCAGAAGAAGCACCGGCUAACUCCGUGCCAGCAGCCGCGGUAAUACGGAGGGUGCAGGCGUUAAUCGGAAUUACUGGGCGUAAAGCGCACGCAGGCGGUCUGUCAAGUCGGAUGUGAAAUCCCCGGGCUCAACCUGGGAACUGCAUUCGAAACUGGCAGGCUAGAGUCUUGUAGAGGGGGGUAGAAUUCCAGGUGUAGCGGUGAAAUGCGUAGAGAUCUGGAGGAAUACCGGUGGCGAAGGCGGCCCCCUGGACAAAGACUGACGCUCAGGUGCGAAAGCGUGGGGAGCAAACAGGAUUAGAUACCCCGGUAGUC